This 482-nucleotide ribosomal RNA is filed under the name Limnodrilus paraclaparedianus. RNAcentral describes it as "partial large subunit ribosomal RNA". It matches the Rfam family "Bacterial large subunit ribosomal RNA", at positions 1819 to 2597 of the family's 2925-position model. The record is from RNAcentral. Lineage: Eukaryota; Metazoa; Annelida; Clitellata; Tubificida; Naididae.
UGCCACCUGAUACAUAAAUAGGUGGUACAAUCCUGCCCAGUGAUCUAUUAAACGGCCGCGGUAUCCUGACCGUGCAAAGGUAGCAUAAUCAUUUGCCUAUUAAUUGUAGGCUGGUAUGAACGGAUAAACGAGAACCAGACUGUCUCCUCUAGAACCAUAAAAAUUUAUAUCCGAGUGAAGAAGCUCAGAUAAUCUCGCAGGACAAGAAGACCCUAUAGAGCUUUACCAUAAAUCUUAUCAUAUAAGCUAACUGGUUCGGUUGGGGCGACCAAGGAAUUUACAUCAUCCUAAAACUUUAAGAUUUACUAAUCACUAAAAAGAUCCUUUACAAAGAUCAUCGAAUCAAGCUACCUUAGGGAUAACAGGCUAAUUCCUCUAGAGAGCCCUUAUUGACAGAGGAGGUUGGCACCUCGAUGUUGGCUUAGGAUUUCUCUAUGACGCAGCAGUCAUAGUCAGAUGGUUUGUUCAACCAUUAAACUCCU